This 288-nucleotide ribosomal RNA is filed under the name uncultured bacterium. RNAcentral's name for it is "partial 16S ribosomal RNA". It matches the Rfam family "Bacterial small subunit ribosomal RNA", at positions 45 to 334 of the family's 1533-position model. The record is from RNAcentral.
AUGCCUUACACAUGCAAGUCGAACGGCAGCACGGGAGCAAUCCUGGUGGCGAGUGGCGAACGGGUGAGUAAUACAUCGGCACGUGUCCUGGAGUGGGGGAUAGCCCGGCGAAAGCCGGAUUAAUACCGCAUACGCUCUAAGGAGGAAAGGGGGGGAUCUUCGGACCUCUCGCUCAAGGGGCGGCCGAUGGCAGAUUAGCUAGUUGGUGGGGUAAAGGCCUACCAAUGCGACGAUCUGUAGCUGGUCUGAGAGGACGACCAGCCACACUGGGACUGAGACACGGCCCAG